CUACGGGAUGCUCCAGUAAGGAAUAUUGCGCAAUGGAGGCAACUCUGACGCAGCCAUGCCGCGUGCAGGAAGAAGGCCUUAUGGGUCGUAAACUGCUUUUAUUUAGGAAUAAACCCCCGAACGUGUUCGGGGCUGAAGGUACUAAACGAAUAAGCACCGGCUAACUCCGUGCCAGCGGCCGCGGUAAGACGGAGGGUGCAAGCGUUAUCCGGAUUUUUUGGGUUUAAAGGGUGCGCAGGCGGGCUAUUAAGUCAGUGGUGAAAUCCCGGGGCUCAACUCCGGAACUGCCAUUGAUACUGGUAGUCUUGAGUUUGGUUGAAGUGGGCGGAAUGUAGCAUGUAGCGGUGAAAUGCAUAGAUAUGCUACAGAACACCAAUCGCGAAGGCAGCUCACUAAGCCAAAACUGACGCUCAUGCACGAAAGCGUGGGGAUCAAACAGGAUUAGAUACCCCGGUAGUC
Molecule: ribosomal RNA, 459 nt
Filed under: uncultured bacterium
Lineage: Bacteria
Description: partial 16S ribosomal RNA
Rfam family: Bacterial small subunit ribosomal RNA
Source: RNAcentral